GGCGCUUGAGGCUUUUUGUCUCAUGACGUUUGGUUGGUUUGUUAGGUGUUGUGAGGCAGAAAGCAGAAAGCCCCGAAGUUAAUUCUCAUUAACCACGAGGCUUAAUCUGUAUGCCUAGACAACAUCAGAUUAGCCGCUUACCUGCCGAAAGGCAAGGAGAAGUAAG
Molecule: antisense RNA, 166 nt
Filed under: Citrobacter youngae
Lineage: Bacteria; Pseudomonadati; Pseudomonadota; Gammaproteobacteria; Enterobacterales; Enterobacteriaceae
Description: sok antitoxin (CssrC)
Rfam family: sok antitoxin (CssrC)
About the family: Also identified in Shigella as CssrC.
Source: RNAcentral